RNAcentral lists this ribosomal RNA (574 nucleotides) under Saccharomyces cerevisiae (brewer's yeast). Its description in RNAcentral is "eukaryotic LSU rRNA". It matches the Rfam family "Eukaryotic large subunit ribosomal RNA", at positions 82 to 664 of the family's 3401-position model. Lineage: Eukaryota; Fungi; Ascomycota; Saccharomycetes; Saccharomycetales; Saccharomycetaceae. The record is from RNAcentral.
AGUAACGGCGAGUGAAGCGGCAAAAGCUCAAAUUUGAAAUCUGGUACCUUCGGUGCCCGAGUUGUAAUUUGGAGAGGGCAACUUUGGGGCCGUUCCUUGUCUAUGUUCCUUGGAACAGGACGUCAUAGAGGGUGAGAAUCCCGUGUGGCGAGGAGUGCGGUUCUUUGUAAAGUGCCUUCGAAGAGUCGAGUUGUUUGGGAAUGCAGCUCUAAGUGGGUGGUAAAUUCCAUCUAAAGCUAAAUAUUGGCGAGAGACCGAUAGCGAACAAGUACAGUGAUGGAAAGAUGAAAAGAACUUUGAAAAGAGAGUGAAAAAGUACGUGAAAUUGUUGAAAGGGAAGGGCAUUUGAUCAGACAUGGUGUUUUGUGCCCUCUGCUCCUUGUGGGUAGGGGAAUCUCGCAUUUCACUGGGCCAGCAUCAGUUUUGGUGGCAGGAUAAAUCCAUAGGAAUGUAGCUUGCCUCGGUAAGUAUUAUAGCCUGUGGGAAUACUGCCAGCUGGGACUGAGGACUGCGACGUAAGUCAAGGAUGCUGGCAUAAUGGUUAUAUGCCGCCCGUCUUGAAACACGGACCUCC